GAUCCUAAAAGAGGGAGAGAAUCAAACCUGCAAACCACAGAUUCACUUCAUAGAUGUCCUAGAACUAUGAUGUCUCUGUGGGCCAUUCGCUAGGGCUGUGUUCUUCAACCUUUUCAGGGCUCUUGUGAAUAUGAAUCCAUUAAUGUGUGAGGAGAUCCGGCAACUACACUGAGGAGAACCAUAUACAUAUCCAAGCAUACUGCAUCGCUGCACAGUCCCAUCUGCAUGUCUCUGAG
Non-coding RNA from Chrysemys picta bellii (western painted turtle), 236 nucleotides. The record is from RefSeq and is a predicted model, not a curated record. Lineage: Eukaryota; Metazoa; Chordata; Testudines; Emydidae.